Mus musculus (house mouse) is the source of this 3713-nucleotide RNA transcript. It is a transcript of the gene named solute carrier family 10 (sodium/bile acid cotransporter family), member 7, with no coding region annotated. The record is from RefSeq and is marked validated. Lineage: Eukaryota; Metazoa; Chordata; Mammalia; Rodentia; Muridae. The transcript has 13 exons.
GCUCAGCGAGGCUUUCCUGUCACUGGGUACUACUACUCCCAGCCCGCCUCGGAGCCGCCCGAGCCACCCCUCGGUCUUUAGUUUACGAGUGGCAAUUUGACUUGCUCUGCUGCAUGUCUGGAGGGAUCGAGGAAAGUGUGGAGACGCCCCGGGGAUUUAGGGAUCGCAGUUUGGAAAGCAAGCCAGCCAAACAAAUAAACAAAACCCACCCGCCCUAACAAAUAUGAGGCUGCUGGAGAGGGCGAGGAAAGAAUGGUUCAUGGUCGGGAUAGUGGUGGCGAUCGGCGCCGCUAAGCUCGAGCCGUCGGUCGGAGUGAACGGGGGACCACUGAAGCCAGAGAUAACUGUGUCCUACAUUGCCGUCGCAACGAUAUUCUUCAACAGUGGACUGUCAUUAAAAACGGAGGAGCUGACCAGCGCACUGGUGCACCUGAGACUGCAUCUUUUCAUCCAAAUCUUCACACUUGCCUUCUUCCCAGCAGCAAUAUGGCUCUUUCUUCAGCUCUUAUCAGUCACAUCCAUCAACGAGUGGCUUUUAAAAGGUCUGCAGACAGUAGGUUGCAUGCCACCCCCUGUGUCUUCUGCCGUGAUUUUAACCAAGGCAGUUGGUGGAAAUGAGGCAGCUGCGAUAUUUAAUUCAGCAUUUGGAAGUUUUUUGGUAAUUAUAGACAAGAUGGGUUUUUGUUUUGAAGCUCAAGAUGACCUUAAACUUCUGCUUCUAACCCUUUACCUGCGUAUCCCAUGUGCUGGAACUACAGGGCAUUGUUGUGACUCCGGUGCUCCUGCUGCUUUUCCUCGGUUCAUCCUCUUCGGUGCCUUUUACAUCCAUUUUCUCUCAGCUGUUUAUGACGGUGGUGGUUCCUCUUGUCAUUGGACAGAUCGUCCGACGCUACAUCAAGGACUGGCUGGAGAGGAAGAAGCCACCAUUUGGUGUGGUCAGCAGUAGCGUGCUACUCAUGAUCAUCUACACCACCUUCUGUGACACCUUCUCCAACCCAAACAUCGACCUGGACAAGUUCAGCCUCAUCCUCAUACUGUUCAUAAUAGUCUCCGUUCAGCUGAGCUUCAUGCUUCUGACUUUCAUCUUCUCCACACGGAAUAACUCGGGGUUCACACCAGCAGACACAGUGGCUAUCAUCUUCUGCUCCACACACAAGUCCCUCACCUUGGGAAUCCCAAUGCUGAAGAUAGUGUUUGCAGGCCAUGAGCAUCUCUCGCUGAUAUCCGUGCCCUUGCUCAUCUACCACCCAGCUCAGAUUCUCCUGGGAAGUGUGUUAGUGCCAACAAUAAAGUCUUGGAUGGUGUCCAGGCAGAAGGGAGUGAAGCUGACAAGGCCGACAGUGUGACUCGGGUGGCGCCAGCCUUCCUGGAGUGUGUACAUAUAUGUACAGGCUGUACAUACAGGGGUUCUGAGGACCUGUCCUUGGGGAUGCUGCUUUGAUGCCUAUUUUAUUUUUUUACAGAAAAAAAUAUGAUAUACCUGUUUAAGUGCCUUACGAUGUUUUUGACAAGAGCGUUAUUUCCAAAACACACUCUGUUGGCUACUGCCAAGGGUAGUACAGUAUUUUGGACUCAUUUUUUUCCCUAAGGCAGAAAAAAAAGUUCUAGUAAGGGACAAAAGCUAACACGUUUUCUUCGUACUGCCUUUGUGCAGGCAAGACUCUAAUAGCACUAUAACGUUCAAAAUGAGGUCAUGCCAUCCAGAAACCUCCCUCCUGGUGACAGUGAACGAUUCCAAAGUCUCAUUCACCGCACACUUUGAUUCACCGAGUGGUUCUUUGUUUCUAAGACUGUGACGGGCUCUUCCUUAUCAACUCAGCGGGGGAUGCAGAUCGCAGAGAUGCCGAGAAGCGUCAGGUACCUCAUUCCUUGACACCGUCUUCUUCCAUCCAUCCCCGCACACUCCAGAAACACUUCAGUCCCAGCACAGAGUGUGUGUGGGGGCUGGGGGGGGGGGGGGGAGUGCAGCUUAGAUGUAUUAUCGGCUGCUUCAGAGAAAGUCCUGGUGAGUGUUGCCGUGAACUCGGACAGUGCUUUGGGACGUCUGCAAUCGUACCUCAGUAUGCUUCUCCCUUCCAUCAUUCCUUAGUUUCCCAUUUUACUUACACACAACAUCCCCGUGCAACACCCAAAUGUCACAGUCAGCUGGAGAGUCACAGAAAUCAACAGUGGAUUAUGUGUUCACAUUCCACAGCUGGUUCCAAGCACAUUCCUGUUACACUGUUCCAAAUCGUUCCUGUUGGCAAGACACAACCUGUUACAUUAAGCGCACUUGAGACAUCUGAGAAGAUUUAUGAAUCAUUUGACAGAUGUUCACAACAUCUCUUAAGAAAUCAAAUCCUAUCGCCUUAGGAGCCAGAGAAAAUAAACAUGAGGCCGUGGGCAUGAGCUAAUGUUACAUGUCCACACUGCUAGUCAGGUGGAAGAAGGGCUGGUCCAGAAGAGCAGGCAGGACCUUCCACUCACCGAGCUGUCAACAGGAUGAGUCCGGGAACUGGGCACCAGCUUUGGAAAGGACUCCAGAAAAGCCUACGCUGAACCCAAACAAGAAGCUAAAGCAGCAUACUGAACAGUGGUGGGAGCGUCUUUCCUGAGCUUCCUGCUUAGUGUUGGAACAGGCAUCACGGGUCUCCCCAGCAGCUGCCUUUGCUGUUGGUAGUGGGGGCUGUGGACCCACAAUCAAUCAUUCCUUCAGAAUUCCCUGGGCUUUUCAGUGGUGUUGGGUUAUGUUAUGGUUAGCAUUGGUGUUGUAGAUGAUGGUAGUUUAUGUCAUAGUUACCGUGGUUGGCGCUGGUGUUAUGGUGUUAGCACCAGGUCCUCUGUGUCACUGUCUCGGGACUUCAUAAUUCUGAGCAUAGCUAUAACACUGGUGUCAGGCCUGGCAGAGAUCCACGCUGCACGGCCUGUGGGGACCAUGCUGGGGACGAGGAGGCAGUGAGUCUGUUUGGUGAGUGUGCUGCCUCCAUGGAGCACAAAGGUUUUCAAGUCUCACCCCCACAGCCUUGGGGCUUUAGAGGAAGUAGACACUGUCUGCCUGCCAGAGUUGUAGACGCAACCCUUCCGUCAUUUGAACACUGGUUUCCCCGCCGACCACAUCUACCUCUCUGUGCGUGACUGCGACAAAGUUCAACUGAAGAUGCUAUGGUAACUUUUUCUCUUUUGCUUUAAAACUGUCUUUUGUUUUCAAACAAAACUGAUUUAUAUCAUGAGUUUUGGGAGCUUUAGUAACAUGUCUGUGGCUACUUCUCCUUUUACACAAAUAUGAUAGCAUAUUUUUCAUGGUAAGGAAAAAAAUAAAAUCAAAAUUUGCUUUAAUUUAUGCUCAUUAGGAUUGAACUGUCAGCUUAAAAUACUUUCUAUGUUUCUGCACUGCCAAUGUCUGUUUUAUGUAUUUGUUUGUCCAAAUGUACCUAUAAAAAGAAUACAUUAGACAGUUAUGUUUACUCAUUCCAACCUGGAAUUGGUUUUAAACGGCUGGAACUUUAAGGAACGGCACUGCAGUCUUUACGCAUGUUACAAACGUUAAGGUUCUGUGGAUUUUUUAAAUUCUUCCCUAUUCUGUUUUAAACUGGCACACCUCUGGUUGACGCUCAGUGUUUAUGCUAAAAACCAAAUUUUUUCAAAGAGAUGGCUAAGUAAUUAAGUGGGUUAUUUAUAAUGAAUGGAAAAUUUAAAAAAAAAAUUCUAUGAUUAAACAGAGAGUACUUGACGAA